UUCCCCCAACUUCUUCCCUUUUCUCCUCUUCUCCCUCCCCUUUUUCCCUCUCUAUUUUUUACCCUUCCAUCCCCAACUCUAACACUCCCCGUGCCGGACAGGGCAGGGAGCAGGGACCGGGUGUAGCAGCCAGACGAGGCCGACAACUUGCAGGUAGCCCCGGGGAUGGGCGAGGACGGGGGAAGGACACCGGCUCAGCUCCCUCCUGCCAGGGCCGGGCGUUCAGAACGCCUUCAUGCUUUCACCCAAACGGGCCCUGCUCUUUGCAAAGCAGGCGACAAGAAAGCCCUCGAAAUGCCAUUUACCCUACAGAUUUCUGCAGCCGGAGCCUUGCUGCUGCCAGCAAUCUGCUUGCACGGUCAGUGCAAGAACAGCUGGGACAGGACUGAGUUCUGACAGGUUUUUCACUCGCACAAGCAAUGCAAAGAUUGAAGCUUUCCUUUGCCUGGCUGGAAAGCAGACAGCUACUCCAGUGCCCAGCAGUGAUUCCCCUUCCCACCCCAUUGCCCAGCAGGGGUUUCUUUUCCCACCCCACCACCGACAGCACCAACACUGAAGGAGGCUGGGGACCUGAGAUGCUUUGCAGCCAGCCUUCUGCACGGCAGGGAAGCAGCCUGUGGUGUGUGUGCACUUGCACUCACCUUCACCGCCCUUUCUUGAUUUUAAUAACAGCACAGGGGAUCAGUGUCAAGGACAGAUGGGGCCAACCUCUGAGCUGUGCUGAGCGCGCUGCUGCCUUGUGUGCGUCCCCUGUGAAACCCCAGAUCCCCAUCUCUGAUUGCCUCUUUGUGUCUGUACUUGUGUGCAAUACCUGCGUUACGCUUCAGUAGACUCGGGAGCGGGCAGAAGUGCUAUCUCUGCCUCAAGGAUAUUUGAGAAGAUGCUUCUCUGGGAUGGAUCCUUUUAGGAAAAAAAAAAAUUGUUAAAACAUUUCGGGAAAGCUGAAGAAUGAAUGAAUUUGUGGAGCUUUCUGAGGGAUGCACAUCGGUGCCAUCCUAAAGGUGAACACUCAUCCCACCCUGCAGGACCCUGGCAAUCGCUAUCCAGCACUGAGCCAUGCUACAGUGUUCUGGUCCUCCAAAGCAUCCCUCCCUUUGCUGUUGCUCUGCACUACUGCGAAAUUACAGGCUGCAGAUGGGGGGCUGAAAGCAGCAGCUCUGCUUCAGGGAGGCAGUGGGAUGGGGCAGAAGGUGAGGCUGAUAUUGCAAGAGGUUGCCAGGACUUUCUGUUCCCUCCGGGUCCAAUCCAAGGCGUCGUUAGCAAACUAAUAAACCGGCUGCAGAUGUUGAGCCAACAGCAGGGCACGUUCCUCAGGAGCAUCCCUGAAAACUCUUGGGUUUGGGAAGUGAUCAGCUCAUCCCUGUGUUUCUCUUUGUGCUCUUUGCCACUCUCUGCACCACUUCUUCCCUCCUGCCUGGAAUUUUAGGGGAAAAGAAGAAAAAAUAGAAACAGGAAACAAAACAGGAUCUUCCUCAAAUCACUUUUUCCAAGCUUCUUUAUUUUCUUGAUAUUGCAGUGGAUGGAGCUCUGUGACCCUACUGUUUCUCUUAGAAAAUAGAAGUAUCUGUGCCAGCCGCAGCUCUGCCAGCACUGGGUGGCUCUGGCAAUUGGCAAACACCAAUGCCAUAUCCAUACCCCACUGACCCCAUCAGAUCCCACAAGGCUGGUGUGGGUACAACUGCAGUGAUGCUGUAGGAAGCAGGUGCUGCCCUGCAUGGGACCCAAUCCAGGUCCUUGGGGGCAGGAAUACAUCAGGGCUGGAGUUUCAUCAGGAAUAGGAGUCCACCAUGCCCAGGUGGGGCUGUGCCUGCUGAAGUGCCUCUUAACCUUUCCUAUACCCCGCUAGCGAGGGAAAAAACGCACGAGGGGAUCCUGCCUGUUCCCUUGCCCCUGAAGGGAGAAAAGAGAAAGAUCCCCGAGCCUGGUGCUCUACCCCCAAAGCCCAUCUCCAGGCAGAGGGAGAGGCAGCGUGCUCACUACUUUCUGCCUCUAGCUCUGCUUUUUGUGCUGCCCCAGGUACCGGCCCCAGCGCAUCCCCUGCUGCAGUAGCGCUCCUCCUGCACGGAGCAGCACAUUUCCCCCGAGUUACUUAUUAACCACCAUUCGUUUGACAGGAUCGAUAUUUCAAGCUAGGGAGUAAACACUUAAGAAGUAAUGCUCCUCUCUGCUCUCUUUUUCCUCAGCAAAAUGAUUUAUUUUAUAAAAUGCAUCUGCCUGGCAGGGAGGCUGGAGCCCCGCGGCGUUUAUCCGCGGGAUAUGCAAAGCGCAUUUAUUUCCUCUUUUAUCUCUCAUAUUGCGCGUUGAUCCCAUACAUAUAGAUUGAUUUUGUUCAGGUAGAUAAUGAAAAGUCAAGUGGAAAAUUUACACAAAGGCACUCAGGAUCUCCACUUUCUAUUGGUAUAUAAAUUGGUUUAUUACUUCAUUCCCUUAAACAGCGACUUUCACGCUGGGGAACACUUUAAAAUAUAUCAUGUUUAAACACAGAGCCGUUUACCUUCCGUGUGGUUUCUCUUUUUCCAUCGGUAAUUUCCUCGCUACUUUUGCUAAUUACCGAAGAUAUUUGUGUUUAAACAAGGGCCCCACCAGCAGCAAUCCGUCUGCCUCCUCCUCCAGCUCCCAGCAUCAAACCACCCCAACCAGAGCUCCGGGCUCUGGGCACAGAGAUGGUGACAAAGCCUGGCAGCGGGCUCUAAUUCCCCGUAAGCGGCUUUGGCUUUGCCAGCCCAAGGCAGUGAAUGGAGGGCACUGGACAGGAGAGAGCAGCUCGGAACAAAACAGGCAGGAAACGUUAUUAAUAAACAUCUUCUGGACAUUUGGUGGCUCAUCUAGGCUGCUCCAGCUUAAAGCAAUUAAUUCAGGAUACUGACAUAAACUCUCCAGCUCUUUGACAGCUUGGAGCUGAAAUAAAAAUGCUAGUUCUCCAGGGAAAAGGAGAGGAUAGUUGGCUCUUUUCUGGACUGUUUGCUUAUAGGCCCAGAGAGCAAUCUUCCUUGCAGAAUGAAAUGCAAGGACACAAACAAUGUACCGGAGAGAGAAUAGAAGAUGGGAAUGAACAGUUUGAACUAUUUGCUCAGCAGAAGGGCAGCCACAAUGCUCAACCAAUGGCUUUCCCAUGCAUCAACCGGGCUUCUUAGGCCCUUUUGUUGUUCAUCCUCUUCCUCUGACCAGAUAAGAGCACAGCUGCACGGCCGUCGACUUAGCCACGCAAAUCUGGUGCCGCGCGGAGCCGCGUCCCCGCGGAGCUCGAGGACAAGGUGACACCGGGCAGUGGCACAUCCAGCAGCCCCCGCAACCAGUGCCACCUCCCCACAACCAGGCUGCAGUCCCCUGCCCUCUCCUUGCCCCCUUCCUGCCUCCUUUGCCCGUUGCUCAGGCGCUGCUAUGUUGCUCCGACCCAAAUGCCAGCUCCAACAGUGAUGCUACGCCGCUUUGUGCCGCCCCGGGCUGGGAUUCGGUGAGCAAGGCUGGAACAAGGUUUGUUUAGCUUGAAAGAGUUUGACGAGGUGAAAAGGCAAAGCGCUGAGGACUAAAGAAAACGCCUGCCUGGCUGAAAUCACACGGAGCACUCGUCGUCAAAGAGCACACCUGCAGGAAGCACCGAGUUUAAACACUGCUGUCACAAAAACCUGAGAAACCUCCGGGUAUUUUAUUGUGUUUUUUUUGUUUUGUUUUUUGUCUCUUUUCCCCCUUCUCCCCUACUGGGUGGUCAGGAGAGCAGGAGGGCUCCCAUUGUCUGCAGAGCUGACCCCACGUGUCCCUGCCAUGCCAGCACCUGGCCAACACCAAAACGCCCCAAUCCAGCCCCAGUCUCCAGCCCAGCGCCCUGCAUCGGGCUGCUUAAUGAGACCCUAACAAGGUGCAGCCUUAAUUUCCAAAACGCUGCAACACAGACAAAGGGAAAGUGCAGUCAGCUCCGAGUAAUUUGUGCCUCGCUCCCGGUGAAUGAAUUUAGGGGAGCAAAUAUCGUUAUGCGGGAUUUAAAUUAAAGUUGACACUAAUGUAAAUACGGCAAUGCAACCGGCUGUUUAAGAAAUGUGAUGAGGGUACAGUUUUAAUCAGGUCCUUUUAACUCGGGUGGCAUUUUAAAUCCUCGCUGGUUCAAUUGGAUAGCAGUCCCGGAGGAUGUCCUGGAGUGGGAUGGUGAGGGAUGGUUGUUCCCGGAGCUCACCUGGUGAGCAGUGAGCGCAGUGCUGGACGCUGCAGAUGGAUGGACCCCCCUGCCAAGGGCUGAGUAACAAAGGCAGAGGCGGCAGCUAAAAGGGUUGGUAAUAAAUUCUUGCGGGGUUGGUCAGCGCCUGCCAGAUUUCCCCCGGCGCUCUUGAACAAUCUGCUUCCAGCCUAAAUCAUAGAGCCGGAGCUUGAGAGGAAAAAGGAAAAAGGAAAAAAGAAAAGAGGAAAGAGCGGUGACCGCCUCACCUACUUCAAAGCCUGAAGAGCGCAGAGGUGCUUCACAAUAACAAUAGCGCUGGAUGCAGCCUGGAGGAGCUCCAUAACAGGAGCUCUGUAACCUGGCAAGACCCAGAGUUACGGUUACCAGAACAAUAUUUGGCAAGGGAAUUCUUCUGGUUCUUUUUUUGUCAAAGGGAACAUAAUGCCACUGGCAGGGACACAGUGCCAGCACGGUGCUGCGCUGGGUUCAGGCUGCAGCAGUGUCUGGUUUUUCUAGGAGGGGGUCCAAUACCUAAUAAUAAUAAUAAUUAUUAUCAUAUCAUGAACAACUACUUUGAGGAAGAAAGAAAUCCUCUCUUGAGGUUUUCAGACAGCUGGUUGCCUCCAUGCAUGCAGGAUGUUCGUGCUGAGCUCAUGUGAAGUUGAGGGUUAAGGUGAGGGGUAGAGUCAGGGCCCCAUGUUAACCCAAAGUUUCCCUGGCUCCUGGCCCCGCUCCGAGCUGCAGAGCCCUGCCUGUCUCUGCAGGGUAUUGCAUCUUCUGGGAGCUGUCCUAAUCCUCCCGUGUGACUCAGCGCCAUCAAAAUACCAAUGAGAAUAAUAAAAUGGGUUCUAAUGCUAUUAGGUAUUCCCCUUAGCUAUCCUGGCUACCCAAGGAGGAUGAAGUGGGAUUGGGAAGGGAGAGGGGAUGCAAUGGGCAUGGGCAAGGGAGGAUCCUGCAGCUGGCCAUUGGGCUGGAGCUAGGAUUUGGGGGAAGGAAGUGGCUUCUCACCCAGGUUUUGUUCUGCAGUGGAUCCUAGGUGGGGUGAUCCUACCCGCAGCCCCCCCCACCAGCCCCUGCCCUUUGCACAGAUGCCUAUGUCCACAAACCCCCCUAAGCACUUAAUGAGCUCCGAGACGCCUAUUGUCUUGGCAAAGCUGAUUGAAACGGGCGAGGAGUUCAAGGGUUAGGAAGGGAGGGCUGAAGGGAGGCAGACACCCGGUGACACCGGGCUGCCCGGCCAGCAAAUGGGCUCAGCUCUCACGUCGGUGCAGCAGCGCAGCACACACUGUGUCCAACACCCAUCGCAUCCCAACAAACUGCUGGGUGCUGAGCCCUGGCUGUGCUGCGGGUUAUCUGCCUUUAGCACAAAGCUGGGACGAAGUCUGCAUUGCCCAAUGCAGUGCAGGAGUGGGCCUUGGACCCAGCCCUGUGUCAGCAGACCUCCCGGCCCUGCUCUGCUCGCUGACAGCCAGUGUUUUUUUACUCCUUGAGACUGUCAGGAAUGUUUUUCAUGCAGGAGUGUAGUGCAUUCAGCAUACUGAAACCGCCUUAAUCUCAGCAAGACCAACAAAGAUAAGGAAUAGCGUUUAAGUUGGCCGAAAUUAGCAAAUGCAUCUGCUGCACAAUGCCCCUGUUACCAUUAGCUGUGACCGGUGAAUGGCACUAGCAAAGUAUGCUGGCAAUGUUUAACAAACCAUCCGUCUUUUACCUGUUCCUACUCAACAGAAACCUUUGUUUGAACCACGGGCCUAUUCAGUCCUGCUGCUGUCUGCUUAUCAGCAAGAUUAAUCUCCGAGGUAUCACUAUAUUAAUUUUAAAACCUGCUUUUAUUACCACGAGCCCUCUGCUCGGGAGGAGAGGAGGUAUUUCUGCCCCUGCUGGGCAAGCCGGGCUCCGUGUUUGCCAAGCUACACCGCCACCAUGACUCAUCCCUGCUACGUGCACCCAUGUCACAGUGCAAACACAUCAUGGCAGAUCCCUUGCCACUGGCCUCAGGCUCUUUUUGGGAGGGCAUAGUUUCCAUAUUCAGCAUGGCUCGCAUCACCAAGGACAGUGGCUUGGUGUAGCAUCCCUGUGCCCUUCUGCUGCAGCAUCCCUGCUGCAGUGCAUCUUUGCACAUCCCUACUAAAGUGUCCCUGUGAAUUCCUGUGCAUCUCUGUGCAUCUCUGCUGCAGCAUCCCAAUGCAACCCAGCUGCAGCAUCCCAAAAAUUCAUGCACACCUCUGCAGCAGUGCAUCCCUUUACAUCCCUUCACAUCCCUUCUGCAGCAUACAUGUGAAUCCCUUGCAUCCCUGCAUAUCUCUACUACAGAAUCCCUGUGCAACUCUGCACAUCUCUGUGCAUCCCUGCUGCAGUACCUCUGCAAAUCCCUGCUGCAGCAUCCUUUUGCAUUCCAGAUGCAGCAUCCCUCCUGCAGCAUCCCUGCUCACCUAUGUGCAGUGUCUGCAUGGUGUGCCCUGGCAGCGUUCCUGCUGCAGCAUCCCUGCAGUGCCCAAGCAAAGCAGGCUGAGAAGCUGCCCCCAUGGCACAGAGAGGCGCGGGGAGGGAACCUGGUGUGGUUUGCCAUCAGGAUGGCAGCUGGGGCCAGCUCAGGCCCUGAAUUCCUGGCUGAGUGCUGUGCACACAGCGCUUAUCUCUCUUGGCUGUGUUUGUGCAGCAGGAGCCAGCCUGCACUGUGGGGUGAGGGACACGGCCGAGCACCCACAGAAGAACAUAGGGCAGUCCUGGGAAUCAAAUCUCUCUCGUCUUUAUGCACCAUGAGCAUUCUAGGGGGAUGCUGAAGGUUUGUGCAACCCUCCAUGAUGCCUGGCUGCACCUUCCUGCUGUGCUGGCAGCAUGGGCAGCUCCAGCCAUGUUUUCCUCCCCGCACUGCAUGAACACAGACAGGAGGACCCCUCGGUGAGCUCACUGAUGCAAUUCUGGCAGCAUCCAACCCCAGGGAGGAGGAGUGAAAUGUGCUGUUAUUCUCUGCCCGAGUCAAGGGAAAGGUUCAAGCACCUUGAAGUUUGACUGUGAUUCUCGUUGAAGCCAGCACAAAUCAUCUUUGCACAGCAGCUUUAUGGGGGCCUGCUGACCUGCCUGGCCUUUACGCUGAGGGAUAGGUUUUUCUACUCAAUGCUGGCACAAACAACUGCAUUUAUUGGCCAAGCCAGACAGCAGAGCAGUGCCUUGCUGCUCUUAGGGAUGACGAGCAUUCCCAUUCUCGUUUCCAACCAUGCCUUCAUACAACUCGUUCCCAAGCAGAGAACCUAGAAUCAUCGAAUCAUAGGAAUAUAUACCCCUGGAAUCAUGGAAUCAUAGACCCAUAGAAUCAUCGAAUCAUAGACCCAUAGAAUCAUGGAAUCAUGGAAUCAUAGGCCCAUAGAAUCAGAAUCAUGGAAUCAUAGAAUCAAGGAAUUGUAGACACGUAGUGUCAGAGAAUCAUGGAAUCAUAGAAUCAUUGACCCACAGAAUCAUGGAAUCAUAGACCAUAGAAUCAUGGAAUUGUAGAAUCAUGGAAUGAUAGAAACAUAGAACCACAGAUUCAAGACCCAUAUAAACAUGGAAUUAUAGAAUCUUAGAACCAUAGAAUCAUAGAACUGUGGAAUUAUAGAACUGUAUAAUCGGAGAACCAAAGAAUCCUAGAUUCGUUGGAGUUGGAAGGAGUCUUCAAAGUUACCUAGUCUAAUUCCCCUUCAAUGAACAGGGAAACGUGGGUGCAUCAGAGCAAACAAACUGGGAGGAGAAGAACCACGAUGCAGAAAACACAUUGCUGGCAGUCAGGGCUGGGGGCGAGGAGUGCAGCCUGCAUUCCUCCCCGCACAUACAUUAUUCGCUGGGGAUUAUUUGCUCAACCCCGAAGUGCGCGCACGCAUUGACAGCUGCUGGUGGAUACAAAGCGUUGCAUUGAGAUGCCCAAUAUGGAGCACAGGGCUGGGAUCUGAAGCUGGGAGCCCCAGGUUUUGUCUACAGGGUGAGGGAUGAAAGCACCUGAAUUGGAAUCUCCUGAGCAUGCGCUGCACCCAUGGGUGUUGCAAGAGUGCGCACACAGGGAUGUGUAUUGCAUAUAAUGCAGGGAUGCAGUCGGAGGUAGAAGCAAGGAUGUGCACGCACAUAUAGGCAGGGAUAUAUAUGCAUGUAGCUGUGGUUGAGGGCAAGUGGGACGAAAUCUUCAGGCGGGCCAUGAAACAGGGAGGCGUGAGCCAGGGUGCUCAUUAGUACCUGGGUAUGACUGCCGCUGACCUGAUGGCAAAUAUGAAAUAUCAAAGCGCUUGUCAGCACUCCUGAAUGGGACAAAGAAAAGGCGCAUUAAUGAUUAACUCCGUUAAAAGCUCAGGCUUUUUUAUUCCCAUGGCGCUCGGACUAUCUCGCUGCCAUGUGACAUGCUUGGGCCAUUUUCUAGCAGAUUGGGGAAAGCUAGUGAGCAAACACAGGUGCUUUAGAGUCAGCAGCGCUGUCAGGGACAACCACAAACAACACCAGCUAUGCCUGCCUAAAUUAGCUCCUGUGUUUGCCUCCAUUUUUGCUUCCUGGAGAUUUUACUUUCUAAGUCCAAUGUCUUUCGCUCCCGUCUUCAACUAUUCACACGCAGUGUUAAAGGGGAGAAAGAAAAGAGAAGAAAAGCGAAAACACACAGAGAGGCUCCUCUUUGAACCAGCCACUGUGCGUGGGGACCGCAUGCAGAAAGGCCCGAGUCAACUAAUUAAAAGGACUCAGCUCUUUAACUGCAAAAACAAAACACGUUUAUUGUGCUCAAGUGGAAUUAUUCGGGUGAUCCUCAGCAAACAACGAGCCCUGCAUGCAUGCAUGCAAUGCUGCUGCUUGUGAGCUCCGUGCCGACACCACGGGUCCCACCGGUGCCACUUGCAGAAGCUGUUUGCGACCUCCCCUCCACCGUGGUUCAGUGUGAAGGUCCCUCUAGCGGUAUUAUUUGUUUUCAUUUUUGCCCCUUCCAUAGCGUGAAUCAGACAGACUUUCUUUUCCUGUUCAAAUAUUUAUAUAUGUGUGUUAUUGCGUCGUGCUUAAACUCCUUGCAAUCAGACCGGGGCAAUAAAGAACAGACUAUCAGCGUGUGGUGAUAAAGGUAGUUGUGAGUAAACAGCAGAAAAUGAAAUAAAGUUAUAAAAAAGAAGGCCUGGGAUGGUAUAAAUGUCUACAAAUAAUCACAAUAUCAACCUGCUCGGUAUUCAAGCAAUUAAGGACAACAGCAGUGAAGCUGUUCUGAAUUUGAGUACUCCCUGGUCCUCAUAAAGUGAGUUCUGCAAGCAGUGGGAGAUGCUGGAGUUUGAAAUCAGCAUCUGGAUCUUGAACCAAGGACACCCGUUGCAGAUGCAGCAUGCUUCACUUGGGGGGGGGGAUUAAAACCUGUGUGUUUAGCGAGAUUACGCUUGAACUGGUCCCAAUUUAUUUUGCCAAAUUGAGCUGCAGCCAAUUUCUCUCCCAUGCGAUGAUGAAUAAAUAUCAUUAAAUAGGAGAAGAUGAAGGCGAUUGAUGCCCUUGUAUUAGCGGGAACUAACAUCGUGUGCUCGAGAAUGAAAGGACAAAAUUGGAGAGAUUUGGAUGCAAAUCAUUCGCAUGAGGAGGAUUAAGCAUGAGGGUACCAGGGAGAAUGGGGUCCAGAAAACCAAAUGCUCAGAAGUGUAGGGAACUGCUGAGGAUUCAUUUCCCUUUGACCCCUUACUUUUGGCUUACAGGGAGCAAAAAUUCCCCCUGUGCAGAACGGUUUGAUUGGAGGCUGUUCUAGGAGAGGGCUGUCACUUAGAUCAUUUAUUAAACCAUCUUAAUGAUCACUUAUUCAAAAAGCACACAGGUUGAUAUUUCCUACUACGACACAAUCAUGGAAUCAUGCAGGUUGGAAAAGACCACAACGACCCCCAAGUCCAACCAUCAGCCCAUCCCCGCCGUGCCCGCUAUCCAACUAACUGUGUUCCUCAGUGCCACGCUAUGAUUCCCAAUUUUCCUGCAGUCACAAAGGAUCAUGCAUGGGAUUUUGCAGCAUGUGAAGGUUGGGGUCUGCACCCAUAAAAGUCCACCCUUGGUGCUGCAAGGCAGCAGUGUGGCUGCCCCAGUCUCCUUUUGUUUGCCAUCCUAUCCCAGCGCCAUUGGGUGUGCUUGCAGAUGGGCCCAGUCGGCUUUUUGCUGCCCUAUAAAACAGGAGGGGAAAAAAAAAAAAAAAAA
Meleagris gallopavo (turkey) is the source of this 10306-nucleotide non-coding RNA. The record is from RefSeq and is a predicted model, not a curated record. NCBI's taxonomy places the organism in Eukaryota, Metazoa, Chordata, Aves, Galliformes, Phasianidae.